Molecule: ribosomal RNA, 558 nt
Filed under: Diaporthe phaseolorum
Lineage: Eukaryota; Fungi; Ascomycota; Sordariomycetes; Diaporthales; Diaporthaceae
Description: eukaryotic LSU rRNA
Rfam family: 5.8S ribosomal RNA (bases 195-348)
Source: RNAcentral
GAACCUGCGGAGGGAUCAUUGCUGGAACGCGCUUCGGCGCACCCAGAAACCCUUUGUGAACUUAUACCUACUGUUGCCUCGGCGCAGGCCGGCCUCUUCACUGAGGCCCCCUGGAGACAGGGAGCAGCCCGCCGGCGGCCAACUAAACUCUUGUUUCUAUAGUGAAUCUCUGAGUAAAAACAUAAAUGAAUCAAAACUUUCAACAACGGAUCUCUUGGUUCUGGCAUCGAUGAAGAACGCAGCGAAAUGCGAUAAGUAAUGUGAAUUGCAGAAUUCAGUGAAUCAUCGAAUCUUUGAACGCACAUUGCGCCCUCUGGUAUUCCGGAGGGCAUGCCUGUUCGAGCGUCAUUUCAACCCUCAAGCCUGGCUUGGUGAUGGGGCACUGCCUGUUACAGGGCAGGCCCUGAAAUCUAGUGGCGAGCUCGCCAGGACUCCGAGCGUAGUAGUUAUAUCUCGCUUUGGAAGGCCCUGGCGGUGCCCUGCCGUUAAACCCCCAACUUCUGAAAAUUUGACCUCGGAUCAGGUAGGAAUACCCGCUGAACUUAAGCAUAUCAAUAA